This 498-nucleotide ribosomal RNA is filed under the name uncultured bacterium. RNAcentral describes it as "partial 16S ribosomal RNA". It matches the Rfam family "Bacterial small subunit ribosomal RNA", at positions 30 to 523 of the family's 1533-position model. The record is from RNAcentral.
AUUGAACGCUGGCGGCAUGCCUUACACAUGCAAGUCGAACGGUAACGCGGGGCAACCUGGCGACGAGUGGCGAACGGGUGAGUAAUGUAUCGGAACGUGCCCAGUAGUGGGGGAUAGCCCGGCGAAAGCCGGAUUAAUACCGCAUACGACCUACGGGUGAAAGGGGGGGAUCGCAAGACCUCUCGCUAUUGGAGCGGCCGAUAUCAGAUUAGGUAGUUGGUGGGGUAAAGGCUCACCAAGCCGACGAUCUGUAGCUGGUCUGAGAGGACGACCAGCCACACUGGGACUGAGACACGGCCCAGACUCCUACGGGAGGCAGCAGUGGGGAAUUUUGGACAAUGGGCGCAAGCCUGAUCCAGCCAUGCCGCGUGCGGGAAGAAGGCCUUCGGGUUGUAAACCGCUUUUGUCAGGGAAGAAAUCUUCUGGAUUAAUACUUCGGAAGGAUGACGGUACCUGAAGAAUAAGCACCGGCUAACUACGUGCCAGCCGCCGCGGUAA